CUGCGAAUGGCUCAUUAUAUAAGUUAUCGUUUAUUUGAUAGUACCUUACUACUUGGAUAACCGUGGUAAUUCUAGAGCUAAUACAUGCUAAAAAUCCCGACUUCGGAAGGGAUGUAUUUAUUAGAUUAAAAACCAAUGCCCCUCGGGGCUCUCUGGUGAUUCAUAAUAACUUCUCGAAUCGCACGGCCUUGCGCCGGCGAUGGUUCAUUCAAAUUUCUUCCCUAUCAACUUUCGAUGUUUGGGUAGUGGCCAAACAUGGUUGCAACGGGUAACGGAGGGUUAGGGCUCGACCCCGGAGAAGGAGCCUGAGAAACGGCUACUACAUCCAAGGAAGGCAGCAGGCGCGCAAAUUACCCAAUCCCGAUUCGGGGAGGUAGUGACAAUAAAUACUGAUACAGGGCUCUUUCGGGUCUUGUAAUUGGAAUGAGUACAAUUUAAAUCCCUUAACGAGGAACAAUUGGAGGGCAAGUCUGGUGCCAGCAGCCGCGGUAAUUCCAGCUCCAAUAGCGUAUAUUAAAGUUGUUGUGGUUAAAAAGCUCGUAGUUGAACCUUGGGCCUGGCUGGCCGGUCCGCCUCACCGCGUGUACUGGUCCGGCCGGGUCUUUCCCUCUGUGGAACCACAUGCCCUUCACUGGGCGUGGCGGGGAAACAGGACUUUUACUUUGAAAAAAUUAGAGUGCUCCAGGCAGGCCUAUGCUCGAAUACAUUAGCAUGGAAUAAUGAAAUAGGACGUGCGGUUCUAUUUUGUUGGUUUCUAGGACCGCCGUAAUGAUUAAUAGGGACAGUCGGGGGCAUCAGUAUUCAAUUGUCAGAGGUGAAAUUCUUGGAUUUAUUGAAGACUAACUACUGCGAAAGCAUUUGCCAAGGAUGUUUUCAUUAAUCAGGAACGAAAGUUAGGGGAUCGAAGACGAUCAGAUACCGUCGUAGUCUUAACCAUAAACUAUGCCGACUAGGGAUCGGACGAUGUUAUUUAGUUGACUCGUUCGGCACCUUACGAGAAAUCAAAGUGCUUGG
RNAcentral lists this ribosomal RNA (1014 nucleotides) under Metarhizium pemphigi. Its description in RNAcentral is "SSU rRNA". It matches the Rfam family "Eukaryotic small subunit ribosomal RNA", at positions 87 to 1110 of the family's 1831-position model. Lineage: Eukaryota; Fungi; Ascomycota; Sordariomycetes; Hypocreales; Clavicipitaceae. The record is from RNAcentral.